This 262-nucleotide unclassified non-coding RNA is filed under the name plant metagenome. Its description in RNAcentral is "partial contains small subunit ribosomal RNA, internal transcribed spacer 1, and 5.8S ribosomal RNA". The record is from RNAcentral.
UCUCCGUUGGUGAACCAGCGGAGGGAUCAUUACCGAGUUUACAACUCCCAAACCCCUAUGUGAACGUUACCAAACUGUUGCCUCGGCGGGAAAUUCAUGCCCCGGGCGCGUCGCAGCCCCGGACCAAGGCGCCCGCCGGAGGACCAACCAAAACUCUUUUGUAUGUCCCUCGCGGACUUUUAUAAUUCUGAACCAUCUCGGCGCCCCUAGCGGGCGUUUCGAAAAUGAAUCAAAACUUUCAACAACGGAUCUCUUGGUUCUG